Molecule: unclassified non-coding RNA, 597 nt
Filed under: Zea mays
Lineage: Eukaryota; Viridiplantae; Streptophyta; Magnoliopsida; Poales; Poaceae
Description: misc RNA Zm00001eb195610
Source: RNAcentral
AUCCCAGCAGCUUCAACCGAAGCGCAGCAACAUCACCGCACUCUGCAAGCCGGGACAACAGGCGUGCACUUGGGGUUGGGGAUGGCCCUGAAGUGGACGACGCUGUUGCCGGUCAGCCUGCGGCGGCCUCUGCAGUCAGGAAGGCCGGAGGACGCGUCGCUGCCGCCGCCGCCGCCCUGCUGCAACGGCGCGAGGGUCUCGACGACGUCGCUCAUGAGCGGCCUGGCCUUGGGGUUCUGGCUCAGGCAGUAGAACGCGAGGCUGCAGGACUUGUGAGCGGCUCUGGCCGAGUACUGCCCCUCCAGCCUCGGGUCGAUGAUCUGGAGGAGCCUCCUCUUGUCGUUGAGCUUCGGGAGCGCCCAGUCCACCAGGCUCUGCUCCCUGCUGGGCCGCGACUUGUCGAUCGACUUGCGCCCCGUCAGGAGCUCCAGCAGGACCACGCCGAAGCUGUACACGUCACUCCGAGCAGUCAAGUGACCUGCAAAUUCGGUGUCAUUAGGUGUAUAAAUGUGAUAUCAGAUCAUGCAUUAAGAAUAACACUUCUUUUUUUUUUGCUGGCUAUAAACUUCGCUAUGAAGUUACAUUCGAAUACUGAAA